This 286-nucleotide non-coding RNA is filed under the name Fimbriiglobus ruber. The record is from RNAcentral. Lineage: Bacteria; Pseudomonadati; Planctomycetota; Planctomycetia; Gemmatales; Gemmataceae.
CAUAGACUCUGAGGGACAGGUUUUGCCGGGCGGCGUUCAGCCGUCGGCGAACGAAGAGGGAAGCCGGUGCAAAUCCGGCGCGGGGCCGCCACUGUAAUCGGUGAGGCCCGGUUCAAGAUGCCACUGCCGGGAAGGGAUCAGCGAGGGUAGAUGAGGGCUGAGGCGAGCGCGGGUUAGACCCGUCGCCAACUGCCAUCCUCUCUCCUUGAGAUUCUAACUCGGUGGGAAGGCGAACCGGUCCGUUCGAGCCGAGAGCCAGAAGACCUGCCUGUCGUUGCUUUCGCCG